AAGGCCUACCAAGACUAUGAUGUGUAGCCGGGCUGAGAGGUUGAACGGCCACAUUGGGACUGAGACACGGCCCAAACUCCUACGGGAGGCAGCAGUAGGGAAUUUUCGGCAAUGGAGGAAACUCUGACCGAGCAACGCCGCGUGAACGAUGAAGUAUUUCGGUACGUAAAGUUCUUUUAUUAGGGAAGAAUAAAUGAUGGAAAAAUCAUUCUGACGGUACCUAAUGAAUAAGCCCCGGCUAACUAUGUGCCAGCAGCCGCGGUAAUACAUAGGGGGCAAGCGUUAUCCGGAAUUAUUGGGCGUAAAGGGUGCGUAGGCGGUUAAAUAAGUUUAUGGUCUAAGUGCAAUGCUCAACAUUGUGAUGCUAUAAAAACUGUUUAGCUAGAGUAAGAUAGAGGCAAGUGGAAUUCCAUGUGUAGUGGUAAAAUGCGUAAAUAUAUGGAGGAACACCAGUAGCGAAGGCGGCUUGCUGGGUCUUUACUGACGCUGAGGCACGAAAGCGUGGGGAGCAAACAGGAUUAGAUACCCUGGUAGUCCACGCCGUAAACGAUGAGUACUAAACGUUGGGUAAAACCAGUGUUGAAGUUAACACAUUAAGUACUCCGCCUGAGUAGUACGUACGCAAGUAUGAAACUUAAAGGAAUUGACGGGACUCCGCACAAGCGGUGGAUCAUGUUGUUUAAUUCGAAGGUACCCGAAAAACCUCACCAGGUCUUGACAUGCUUCUGCAAAGCUGUAGAAACACAGUGGAGGUUAUCAGUUGCACAGGUGGUGCAUGGUUGUCGUCAGCUCGUGUCGUGAGAUGUUGGGUUAAGUCCCGCAACGAGCGCAACCCUUAUUGUUAGUUACCAGCACGUAAUGGUGGGGACUUUAGCAAGACUGCCAGUGAUAAAUUGGAGGAAGGUGGGGACGACGUCAAAUCAUCAUGCCCCUUAUGACCUGGGCUACAAACGUGAUACAAUGGCUGUUACAAAGGGUAGCUGAAGCGCAAGUUUUUGGCGAAUCUCAAAAAAACA
Molecule: ribosomal RNA, 1016 nt
Filed under: 'Prunus avium' phytoplasma
Lineage: Bacteria; Bacillati; Mycoplasmatota; Mollicutes; Acholeplasmatales; Acholeplasmataceae
Description: bacterial SSU rRNA
Rfam family: Bacterial small subunit ribosomal RNA
Source: RNAcentral